This 450-nucleotide long non-coding RNA is filed under the name Arachis ipaensis. RNAcentral's name for it is "long non-coding RNA (AIPA_LNC000526)". Lineage: Eukaryota; Viridiplantae; Streptophyta; Magnoliopsida; Fabales; Fabaceae. The record is from RNAcentral.
AAUAAUUACUUAUUGUAGUAGAAAUCAGAAGUUGCAGAGUUUGAAGAAUAGUAUUGGUGUUGUCUGUUGUGUGAGUGUAUUGUCUGGUGGCUGGUUUAGGGAACUCACGGCGGGGACAACAGAGAGCAGUUCGACGAGUGGAGCACGCGGGUUGGUCGCAGAGUUUGAAGCAGAGCAACGUGGCUUCCAGACGAACGCGAACGGUGAACGAUGAGCGAACGCGAACGCGAACGGCGAAGAACGCGAACGAAGACGCGAACGUGAACGGCAAACAAACGGCGACAGAAGCGUGGCUGAGCAGACAAAGACGACGGACGCCGAGCUCGAGGAAGCAACCGCGAUCGGUGACAGCGAACAGGGGUUGAAGACUUCGAGCACGAGGGAAGCUAGAUGACGGAUGGCGAGCUUUGAGUGCGACGGACGGCAGCAGUAUGCCCCUCCUUGUGGCGG